Molecule: ribosomal RNA, 515 nt
Filed under: uncultured bacterium
Lineage: Bacteria
Description: partial 16S ribosomal RNA
Rfam family: Bacterial small subunit ribosomal RNA
Source: RNAcentral
UGGGGAAUAUUGGACAAUGGGGGCAACCCUGAUCCAGCCAUGCCGCGUGAGUGAUGAAGGCCUUCGGGUUGUAAAGCUCUUUUGGCGGGGACGAUGAUGACGGUACCCGCAGAAUAAGCCCCGGCUAACUUCGUGCCAGCAGCCGCGGUAAGACGAAGGGGGACUAGCGUUGUUCGGAAUUACUGGGCGUAAAGCGAGUGUAGGCGGUUGCCGUAGUCAGGUGUGAAAGCCUUGAGCUCAACUCAAGAAAUGCACUUGAUACUGGGUGACUAGAGGACCGGAGAGGAUAGUGGAAUUCCCAGUGUAGUGGUGAAAUACGUAGAGAUUGGGAAGAACACCAGUGGCGAAGGCGGCUAUCUGGACGGUUACUGACGCUAAGACUCGAAAGCGUGGGGAGCAAACAGGAUUAGAUACCCUGGUAGUCCACGCCGUAAACGAUGGGUGCUAGACGUUGGCGAGCUUGCUCGUCAGUGUCGCAGCUAACGCGUUAAGCACCCCGCCUGGGGAGUACGGCC